CAAUAGCGUAUAUUAAAGUUGUUGCAGUUAAAAAGCUCGUAGUUGGAUUUCUGAUCGAGACAUCAGGUCGGGUCCGAGAGGAUCAUGUACUUUGAUUUUGUUUUGAUCAUCCUUGGGGAGAGCAUUUCUGGCAUUCAGUUGUCGGGAUUGGGAUCCUCAUCGUUUACUGUGAAAAAAUUAGAGUGUUCAAAGCAGGCCUCGGCCUCUGAAUACAUUAGCAUGGAAUAAUAAGAUAGGACUUUGGUGGUCUAUUUUGUUGGUUUGCACGCCAAAGUAAUGAUUAAUAGGGAUAGUUGGGGGUAUUCGUAUUCAAUUGCCAGAGGUGAAAUUCUUGGAUUUAUGGAAGACGAACCACUGCGAAAGCAUUUACCAAGGAUGUUUUCAUUAA
RNAcentral lists this ribosomal RNA (388 nucleotides) under uncultured eukaryote. Its description in RNAcentral is "partial 18S ribosomal RNA". It matches the Rfam family "Eukaryotic small subunit ribosomal RNA", at positions 592 to 976 of the family's 1831-position model. The record is from RNAcentral.